This is a long non-coding RNA of Nerophis ophidion (straightnose pipefish), 489 nucleotides long. RefSeq lists it as uncharacterized. Lineage: Eukaryota; Metazoa; Chordata; Actinopteri; Syngnathiformes; Syngnathidae. The record is from RefSeq and is a predicted model, not a curated record. The transcript has 2 exons.
AAGCUAGAUAACCGAAAGUAGGAAUGACCUUCAAACCUUCCCUUCCCUGCAUGAGUGAAUACGCAAGAUGAAUAAAGAAGGACACCGAGAAAGACAAGUGAGCGUGCUGUGUGUGCAGGAAAACAAGCAAUGGAUGUCACGACACUCCAGAUCAUCAACUCAGCGUUUUAUUGCGGCAACUAUCUGUCCCAGAAACAUCCAUCCAUGUUCUAAACAGCGUGUCCUCAUUACGGUCACAGGAACAAAUCCCAGCUGACUUUGGGAAAAAGGACACAUACACACAAGCAUAAGUACCAGGUUCAUAUUUGGUUCUACACAUCCAUCCAUUCAUCCAUCCAUCAUCUUCCGCUUAUCCGAGGUCUGUCCUACACACACAUUAAUUAUUAUUUUUGUAGUAUAUGAAUGUCAUAUGAAUUUCUGAAAAUGUGUUUAUACAGUGCAAUGCCUUGAAAAAGUCUGUUUCUGGGAAUAAAACUGUGAAAAGACUAA